This 324-nucleotide ribosomal RNA is filed under the name Massisteria sp. RNAcentral describes it as "SSU rRNA". The stretch from base 107 to 324 matches the Rfam family "Eukaryotic small subunit ribosomal RNA", at positions 735 to 955 of the family's 1831-position model. Lineage: Eukaryota; Cercozoa; Massisteriidae. The record is from RNAcentral.
GAUUUCUGGUGUGGUGCGCCUGGUCCGCCGGCGACAGCCGUGUGUGUACCGGUUGCGUGCCUACCAUCCUUUCCGGAGAGCCGCGCUGCCCUUCACUGGGUUGGCGUGCGCCAUCCGGAUCGUUUACUUUGAAAAAAUUAGAGUGUUUAAAGCAGGCUUACGCUUGAAUACAUUAGCAUGGAAUAAUAAGAUAGGACUUUGGUUCUAUUUUGUUGGUUUCUAGGACUGAAGUAAUGAUUGAUAGGGACAGUUGGGGGUGCUAGUAUUUAACGGCCAGAGGUGAAAUUCUUGGAUUCGUUAAAGACUAACUAAUGCGAAAGCAUU